GGUCAGGCUACAAAGUGUGUAUAGUGAAUGCCUUGGCGUCAGAAGCCGAUGAAGGACGUGAUCAGCUGCGAUAAGCCGCGGGGAGCUGCAAAUAAGUUAUGAUCCGCGGAUUUCCGAAUCGGGAAACCGAGCAUGGCGAAAGUCAUGCUACCUCGCGAUGAAGACGCCGCCGUCAGGCGGCGGGAUAGUCGCGUGGAGACAACCCGGGGAAGUGAAACAUCUCAGUACCCGGAGGAAAAGAAAUCAACCGAGAUUCCCCCAGUAGUGGCGAGCGAACGGGGAAUAGCCUAAACCCAGGGACUUGUCCCUGGGGGUUGCAGGGCUCAUCCGGUUCAGAACCGAAGAGUUACAAAUCGUCCGAUAGCGGAAUGGUCCUGGAAAGGCCAGCCAUAGAGGGUGCCAGCCCCGUACGCGAAAUCGAGACGACUCUUGAUGAGUUCCUAAGUACCAUCGGGCACGUGAAAUCCGGUGGGAAUCUGGGGAGACCACUCUCCAAGGCUAAAUACUCUCUGACGACCGAUAGUGAACUAGUACCGCGAGGGAAAGGCGAAAAGAACCCCUGACGGGGAGUGAAAAAGAACCUGAAACUGUACACAUACAAGCUUCACGAGGGCUAUGCCCAGGCCGCAAGGCCAGGGAACGCCUGAGUGAGUGCCUGUUGAAGAAUGACCCGGCGAGUUAAUGGGUGGAGCGAGGUUAAGGGCGGCGUGAAAGCGUCGUCCGCAGCCGUAGCGAAAGCGAGUCUGAAAGGGCGUCAGUUCCAUUCAUUAGACCCGAAGCCAAGUGAUCUAACCAUGGCCAGAGUGAAGUUGGAGUAAAAUCCAAUGGAGGCUCGGAGUGUUAAUCGUUGAAAAGAUUCUACAUGAGCUGUGGUUAGGGGUGAAAGGCUAAUCGAACUUGGUGAUAGCUGGUUCUCUCCGAAAUAGCUUUAGGGCUAGCGUCCAACGUUAACCCACGGGGGUAGAGCACUGGUAGAUGUAGCGGAGGCAACCCCUCCUGCGAAGUCUGUCAAACUCCGAAUACCGUGGCGAAGUGUUGGGCAGUCAGUUCGUGGGGGAUAAGCUCCACGUGCAAGAGGGGAACAACCCAGAACGUCGAUCUAGGUCCCAAAGUGUAUGCUAAGUGGAAAACGUUGUGGAUUUGCUUAAACAGCUAGGAGGUUGGCUUAGAAGCAGCCAUCCUUUAAAGAGUGCGUAACAGCUCACUAGUCGAGCGAAUCUGCGCGGAAAAUGACACGGGGCUCAAGCAUACCACCGCAAUCGCGUCUUGCGCCGCGGCCGUAAGGCCGCGGAUGCAGGGGUAGGAGAGCGUUCCUAGCGCUGUGAAGGCAUACCGAAAGGAGUGCCGGAGCGCUAUGAAGUGAGGAUGUCGGGAUAAGUAGCGAUAAACAAGGUGAGAAUCCUUGUCACCGAAAACCUAAGGUUUCCUUGAGCAACGUUCGUCGGCUCAGGGUCAGUCGGUCCUAAGUCGAGGCCGAAAGGCGUAGGCGAUGGGCAUCCGGUUAAUAUUCCGGAACUAGGUGAUAGGCGUCAACGUAAGAAGCGACGCAGGAGGGUAAGCGGUCCCGGGUGAAGGUCGUCCCGGGCCAACGGCGUAGGCAUGCUCUUCCAGGGAAGUCCGGAGGGGCGUUAAGCCGAAACCAGACGGGGAGAUCUGGGAAACCAGGUCGAAGCCGCCUAACCACGCUGCCAAGAAAACCUUCGUACGUUGCCUGUCAUCUAACCGUACCGUAAACCGACACAGGUGGGUGGGCUGAAAAUGCUAAGGUGCGCGAGUGAGACCACGUUAAGGAACUAGGCAAAAUGAUCCCGUAACUUCGGAAGAAGGGAUGCUCCUCGCAAGAGGAGUCGCAGUGAAAUGGGGACCGUGACUGUUUAACAAAAACACAGGACUCUGCUGAAAUCGCAAGAUGAGGUAUAGGGUCUGACACCUGCCCGGUGCUGGAAGGUCAAGGGGAGUGGUUAGCCGCAAGGCGAAGCCACGAACUUAAGCCCCAGUAAACGGCGGCGGUAACUAUAACCGUCCUAAGGUAGCGAAAUUCCUUGUCGGGUAAGUUCCGACCUGCACGAAUGGUGUAACAAAGGUCCCGCUGUCUCAACGUGGUGCUCGGCGAAAUUGUGGUACGAGUGAAGACGCUCGUUACGCGUGGUUAGACGAAAAGACCCCGUGGAGCUUUACUGUAACUUGACAUUGUGUCGCGGUUUUGGAUGCGUAGCAUAGCUGGGAGCCUUUGAAGCGCAGGUUGUGGCCUGCGUGGAGGCGCAACGUGAAAUACCAGCCUUCCGGAACUGCGACCCUAACUGGAUGCCGUCAACCGGCUUCAGGACAGUGUCAGGCUGGCAGUUUGACUGGGGCGGUCGCCUCCCAAAGAGUAACGGAGGCGUUCCAAGGUUCCCUCAGGGCGCAUAGUAAUCGCCCACUGAGUGCAAUGGCAGAAGGGAGCUUGACUGCGAGGCCUACAAGCCGAGCAGGGACGAAAGUCGGACAUAGUGAUCCGGUGGUACCUCGUGGGAGGGCCAUCGCUCAACGGAUAAAAGCUACCCCGGGGAUAACAGGCUGAUCUGGUCCAAGAGUUCAUAUCGACGACCAGGUUUGGCACCUCGAUGUCGGCUCAUCGCAUCCUCCCGCUGGAGCAGGUGGGAAGGGUUGGGCUGUUCGCCCAUUAAAGCGGUACGUGAGCUGGGUUCAGUACGUCGUGAGACAGUACGGUCUCUAUCUACC
This 2721-nucleotide ribosomal RNA is filed under the name Elusimicrobiota bacterium. Its description in RNAcentral is "Elusimicrobia bacterium partial 23S ribosomal RNA". It matches the Rfam family "Bacterial large subunit ribosomal RNA". The record is from RNAcentral. Lineage: Bacteria; Pseudomonadati; Elusimicrobiota.